This 77-nucleotide transfer RNA is filed under the name Acidobacteriota bacterium. RNAcentral's name for it is "Acidobacteria bacterium (rhizosphere metagenome) tRNA-Asp". It matches the Rfam family "tRNA". Rfam says of the family: Transfer RNA (tRNA) molecules are approximately 80 nucleotides in length. Lineage: Bacteria; Pseudomonadati; Acidobacteriota. The record is from RNAcentral.
GGGGUCGUAGUUCAGUCGGUUAGAACGCUGGCCUGUCACGCCAGAGGUCGCGGGUUCGAGUCCCGUCGGCCCCGCCA